This 246-nucleotide ribosomal RNA is filed under the name uncultured Leptolyngbya sp. Its description in RNAcentral is "partial 16S ribosomal RNA". It matches the Rfam family "Bacterial small subunit ribosomal RNA", at positions 439 to 700 of the family's 1533-position model. Lineage: Bacteria; Bacillati; Cyanobacteriota; Cyanophyceae; Leptolyngbyales; Leptolyngbyaceae. The record is from RNAcentral.
UCAGGGAAGAAGAUCUGACGGUACCUGAUGAAUCAGCAUCGGCUAACUCCGUGCCAGCAGCCGCGGUAAUACGGAGGAUGCAAGCGUUAUCCGGAAUUAUUGGGCGUAAAGCGUCCGUAGGUGGCUAAUCAAGUCUGCUGUCAAAGCGUGGAGCUUAACUCCAUACCGGCGGUGGAAACUGAUGAGCUAGAGUGCGAUAGGGGUAGCAGGAAUUCCCAGUGUAGCGGUGAAAUGCGUAGAGAUUGG